This 492-nucleotide ribosomal RNA is filed under the name uncultured bacterium. RNAcentral describes it as "partial 16S ribosomal RNA". It matches the Rfam family "Bacterial small subunit ribosomal RNA", at positions 29 to 507 of the family's 1533-position model. The record is from RNAcentral.
AGUGAACGCUGGCGGUAGGCCUAACACAUGCAAGUCGAACGGCAGCACAGUAAGAGCUUGCUCUUACGGGUGGCGAGUGGCGGACGGGUGAGGAAUACAUCGGAAUCUACUUUUUCGUGGGGGAUAACGUAGGGAAACUUACGCUAAUACCGCAUACGACCUACGGGUGAAAGCAGGGGAUCUUCGGACCUUGCGCGAUUGAAUGAGCCGAUGUCGGAUUAGCUAGUUGGCGGGGUAAAGGCCCACCAAGGCGACGAUCCGUAGCUGGUCUGAGAGGAUGAUCAGCCACACUGGAACUGAGACACGGUCCAGACUCCUACGGGAGGCAGCAGUGGGGAAUAUUGGACAAUGGGCGCAAGCCUGAUCCAGCCAUACCGCGUGGGUGAAGAGGGCCUUCGGGUUGUAAAGCCCUCUUGUUGGGAAAGAAAAGCAGCAGGUUAAUACCCCGCUGUUCUGACGGUACCCAAAGAAUAAGCACCGGCUAACUUCGUG